This 253-nucleotide ribosomal RNA is filed under the name uncultured bacterium. Its description in RNAcentral is "partial 16S ribosomal RNA". It matches the Rfam family "Bacterial small subunit ribosomal RNA", at positions 524 to 776 of the family's 1533-position model. The record is from RNAcentral.
GACGGAGGGAGCUAGCGUUGUUCGGAUUCAUUGGGCGUAAAGGGUGCGUAGGUGGCGAUGUAAGUCGGGUGUGAAAUCUCCAAGCUUAACUUGGAAACUGCACUCGAUACUGCGUCGCUCGAGGACUGUAGAGGGCAUUGGAAUUCACGGUGUAGCAGUGAAAUGCGUAGAUAUCGUGAGGAAGACCAGUGGCGAAGGCGAAUGCCUGGGCAGUUCCUGACACUGAGGCACGAAGGCCAGGGGAGCAAACGGG